RNAcentral lists this ribosomal RNA (845 nucleotides) under Arthrobacter sp. RKJ4. RNAcentral's name for it is "bacterial SSU rRNA". It matches the Rfam family "Bacterial small subunit ribosomal RNA", at positions 24 to 873 of the family's 1533-position model. The record is from RNAcentral. Lineage: Bacteria; Bacillati; Actinomycetota; Actinomycetes; Micrococcales; Micrococcaceae.
UCAGGAUGAACGCUGGCGGCGUGCUUAACACAUGCAAGUCGAACGAUGAUCCGGUGCUUGCACCGGGGAUUAGUGGCGAACGGGUGAGUAACACGUGAGUAACCUGCCCUUGACUCUGGGAUAAGCCUGGGAAACUGGGUCUAAUACCGGAUAUGACUUCUCAUCGCAUGGUGGGGGGUGGAAAGCUUUUUGUGGUUUUGGAUGGACUCGCGGCCUAUCAGCUUGUUGGUGGGGUAAUGGCCUACCAAGGCGACGACGGGUAGCCGGCCUGAGAGGGUGACCGGCCACACUGGGACUGAGACACGGCCCAGACUCCUACGGGAGGCAGCAGUGGGGAAUAUUGCACAAUGGGCGAAAGCCUGAUGCAGCGACGCCGCGUGAGGGAUGACGGCCUUCGGGUUGUAAACCUCUUUCAGUAGGGAAGAAGCCCUUCGGGGUGACGGUACUUGCAGAAGAAGCGCCGGCUAACUACGUGCCAGCAGCCGCGGUAAUACGUAGGGCGCAAGCGUUAUCCGGAAUUAUUGGGCGUAAAGAGCUCGUAGGCGGUUUGUCGCGUCUGCUGUGAAAGACCGGGGCUCAACUCCGGUUCUGCAGUGGGUACGGGCAGACUAGAGUGCAGUAGGGGAGACUGGAAUUCCUGGUGUAGCGGUGAAAUGCGCAUAUAUCAUGAGGAACACCGAUGGCGAAGGCAGGUCUCUGGGCUGUAACUGACGCUGAGGAGCGAAAGCAUGGGGAGCGAACAGGAUUACAUACCCCUGGUAGUCCAUGCCCGUACACCCUUGGGCACUAUGCUGUGGAGGGACAUUCCCACCGUUUCUUGCUCGCCCGUAACCUAACGCCAUUAA